RNAcentral lists this long non-coding RNA (2535 nucleotides) under Marmota monax (woodchuck). The record is from RNAcentral. Lineage: Eukaryota; Metazoa; Chordata; Mammalia; Rodentia; Sciuridae.
CAUUCUUUACCCUUAGGAAGAAUGCAGAAAAUAUGUACUACUUUUCAGAGCUGGCUCUGACUCUCAAUGCCUGGGAAGGUGGCACUGCACCCACAGACAGCCGGUUACGGCCUGACCAGAGACUGAUGGAAAAUGGGCGCUGGGAUGAAGCCAAUGCUGAAAAGCAGCGCCUGGAGGAAAAACAAAGACUUUCCCGAAAAAAGAGAGAAGCAGAAGCUAUGAAAGCCACAGAAGAUGGUAAUGAACUUGCCUUCUACUUACAUUUCUUGAUGCAUAGAGAGUGUCAGCUCAAUUUGUGCUUUUCUUUCUUUUAGGCACGCCAUAUGAUCCUUAUAAGGCACUGUGGUUUGAGCGGAAGAAGGACCCUGUGACCAAGGAGUUAACCCAUAUUUAUAGGGGUGAAUAUUGGGAGUGCAAAGAAAAGCAGGACUGGAACUCAUGCCCAGACAUUUUUUGAAGCACCAGUAACACAAAGGAAGCGGAUCAAAUGGAGAAGAGGACAGAGGAUGUGCAGGAAAGCUGGCAGUUGUGACUCUUACCAAGUGCUUUCCUCAAGUUUGUCUGUCUUAACCAAUCAUUUUUUCCAAAUCAAUCACCAGAAGCAGACACCAGUGGUGGUGAUUGGCUGGUUGCCUUAGCUGAUUGAUGCUGAAAUCGAUGUACUAGAUACCUUGUAAGGGAGAGGUUUAGUGGCUGAAAGUUAGUGUUAUUCCACUUCUACAAAGUCAAGUAUUCUUGGCUCUUCUUCCUCCCUCUGCCCCAUUUAAGGUGAUGUUAUUCACCCUCCCCAUGUAGUAUCCUGCUCAGCCAAGAUCUGCGUAAAAUUGUGAUUCAUGAGCAUUUUGGUGCUGUUCAGGCAAGAACUGAUUUUAAAGUUCCUUUAAAAAGAAACACAUAUAAGACUUAACCAGCAGAGACAUCGAGAGUGAUUGCAGUGGAGCUUAGGUCUAACAUUGUGAAAGGUGUUCAUACAGCGUUGGUUUAAUGGGGCAUCGUGCAUAGAUAACUGAGGUAUUAAAACACCUGCAAGAGUGAUUGUUCUGUAGGGCUGGAAUAUUCAGUUACAUUCUUGGAAGUUUCUAUCUUCAUCACGUGAAACACUUGUCUGCUGUUCUCCAUCUUCUUUGGCAGCAACUGGAGGCCAUGUGGUGGUUGUUAAAAGAGUCGCAUUAUCCUCACAAAGGGGUUUUACGGACUUCCUCAGGCAGAGAACUUCUGAGAACACAGGCAGGAUGGAAAAAGACUGCUAGCCACUUUUACCUUCCCGGUUCCUCCUCGCCCCCAUCCUUCAUGCCUUUCUAGCUUCUCUCUCCUGGCAUAAUACCAAUUUGGGCCUGUGCCCCAGUCUGGAGCAAAACAUUGCCUGUCCCCUUCUGAUAAACUUCAGAAUUUGAGAGAAGUUAAUCUGGAACAAAAGUUUUCACCAUCUCUCAAGCCCCAUGGACUGGAGCCACCUCUGGAAUAAUGUGUUAAAUAUCUGUAUAUUAUAUAUAUGUAGAGAAAAAUCUAAUUUUUUGUUUGACUUUCCUCCUUCCCAUUAAGAAUCUUGGUUUUUAAUAUCACUUGUCUCCCUGGGACUCUCUUGGACAUGAGCUGGUGUGUAUUAGCACUCCUUUACUUCCAUCUUCUAGAGGCAGAUUUGAAACCUGAGCAGGAAGGAUCACGUCUAGCAGUUACAGAACAGGGACUCUGUCCAUGGUUUGUAUCUUGGGGUGCCCACUGAAGUCUGAACUCUGCUCUCCUAAUUACCCGACUCUUGAAAAUGAAAUCCUAAACUCUUUCCUGCCUCUUUUCUGUCUUUUGUUAGGAAGAGUAUGGGUAGAAAAUCAGGAGGGUAAUUUCCUAUUUACUCCUGCCUCUGUCCAGCACGUAGGCUAAAUCCCAAAAGAACUUUCUUCCUAGGGAUGUGGGCUAAAAGCACUGUCAAGUGGGGUGGAUCAGAGAACUGAGCCUGUUGGGACCUGGCUUCCUUCUUAUUGUAUGUUCUAUAUUUGUUUCAGUUGUCUUGUUCAGAAAUCUCCCCUGGGGAACCCACCCUUGGUUGAGGAUCACAAAUUGAGGUGCCUUCCUUGUAUGCUUUUUGUUAGUGUUUUUUGUUUUUGUUCCUUAACUGCUGAGCCUCAGCCAGUGUGGGUCCUGGGGGGAAAUAUCAUUCCAGAGGAAGCCAUCCCUCCGGGAAAUUGGAUUUUAUGGGUAAAUUAAUUAGUACUUUAAUCCUUCCCCACUAUCCCUCCUUGCUGUGAUAGACAUGAGAGAGGAGUGACUGACCGCUGGAGGAGUGUCCUCCUUUCUAAGAAUGCUUUUCCCAGCACAAGCCAGAGGUUAUGCUGGGGCUUCUUCCAAGGAGGCCCAUGGAAGCAGGAACUUCAUCUGGGGCUUUGGAUAGAGUGUGAAUUCCCCAGCUAAACUGAACUUCCUGCUUUAUCCCCCUUUUCCUCCUUUACCAUCUGCACUACAUUUCUGAAUUGAUCCCCAGAUUCCUGCUAAUGGAAGCAGCUUAGAGUCCUUCAGGUGGAAUAAAGUCACAUGAAAAUG